CAAAACUCCUCUUGGACAGACAAACCAUGGGAACUGAGAGCUCUGCUUUUGCAACUGACCUCUCCUUGGCCCUGGGUAAAUGUCUUCAUUUUCUUCAGCAAGCAGGCAAAACGGAGACACUUACCCGCUGAGGAAGGGAAGAUUACUAGGUAGUGAAUGAACAAACUGUGGAAUGGGUAAACAGCACAGCCAUGCUAAUUAUUCUUAGCAGCUUUUAGUCCUUAAACAUGCUUUUUCACCCUGUGGCAAUGCUCGGCUGUCUUCCUCUGGUCCUGCAGUGUGGCGCAGUGCCGAGAUGUGAUUUACCACUGUCUGGAGUUGAAACGGAUGGAAAACAAAGCUUUUUUGCUAAAUGACCGACCACAAGCAGCCAUCUUUGACCCUUUCUCGUCCUCCUCCACCCUGAAAAGACCAACCAGAGAAAGGAAUACGAUGCAUGUAAAAUAUCCCCAGACCUGUAAGCAUCUCCCGCUCCCUCCUGAAUCCCAACCAUUAAUACCUGAUGUUAAAUCAACAAGCCACAAAGGAAAAUCCUGGCUACCAAGAAAUUAAUCUCCAAAUAUUGCCUGAUCCAGCAAAGAACAAAAACGGGGUGAAUGACCAUGGUGAUACCCCUCAGUCUGCAGCACGGUGAUGACUUUUAGGUUGGUCAAUGUUUGGUGCUUGCCACUUUGGCCAGUGUUUCCAGUGCUUCGUCAAUGCUUGGUAAAAUUGCCCUGCACAAACUGGAUGCAUGCAGAGCUCUAUCAAAGGGCUAGGAAGAGUCUGAGAUAUGAAAAAUGUUUUGCCAAUAGCAUAUUGUUUAUGCCCAAAUGCUGAAUGCUGUUGGGUUAUGCAUAUUUCAUUUUAAACGGCAGACAACGAUGGGGAUUCUUCAGAUGCUAAGAGCAUUUUAUAAGCUAAUGCUAAGAGCAUUUUAUAAGCAAAUGCUAAGAGCUUUUUAUAAGAAAGCCUUGAAGCUGAAAACCCACAGCCUCUAAGGGAAGCUCACAUCUGAACCCUUGCUUUCACGCUGAAGUAAAGUGACAAAUCCAAACACCCUCAAAGUGCAACAAAACGCAUGUUUGGGUUGCAAUUUAGCAUCUCAGCUCUCAUUCCUGCUGCAAAGCGUGUGUGCAGCCCUGUGCGCCGCCCCUUGCCGAUGCGGGCUGCUCGCAGCAGGAGGGCUCGGGCUCUCAUGCUUGUGUGACAGGGCUCCUGCUUCACCCCUGGAGUGCAGAUCCUUCCGAAAGAUAUGGGAUUUUCAGCCGAGGUUGUUUUACUCGGUGGGGAGAGGGAGGAAAGAGAACACAUGUUCCUCCCAGUCCCCUUUGCCACAGUACCGCUGCCAAAACUGCAGCAGCCACACAGAGUGCUGAGGAAACUUUUAAAACUUAAUUAGGGAAGAAAGCAAACAAAAUAAUACUAUAGUGUAUUUACUUAGAGCUGCAGCGCUGCCAGAGAAACCACAUAGCUUGCAUUUGUAAGCUGUGCUUCUCAUAUAAAAUACAUUUAAUUAAACCAGGAGACAGGACAACAAGCUUUCUUCUAGCUUUGUUUAAACACAUGUUUA
Molecule: long non-coding RNA, 1552 nt
Filed under: Anas platyrhynchos platyrhynchos (common mallard)
Lineage: Eukaryota; Metazoa; Chordata; Aves; Anseriformes; Anatidae
Description: lncRNA (ENSAPLG00000027483.1)
Source: RNAcentral